CUAUUUAAUCUGGAGGCUACAGUAUGCUCGGUCCUUUCCUCUCACCGACCACACUGAACCCUAACUACAGGAGGGAGAAAUGCCAUCUUCAUUAAUAUAUAUAAUACAUAACAUCAGCAGCUCCAUCAUAUCAGAUCAUAUGCCAUUUGGUGGACACCUGUAUGAGCCAGAUGGAGGAUGAUGGCUGUGUUUGGGCUUCGGCAGACUGUCCCAGCCAUGACUGUGCUGUGGCAACAAUACAAUCUGUCGUAGCGGUUUAAUUAUUUGAGAAAAUGGGUCUGAGAGAGGAGCUUCAACAAGAGGACCACUGCCAUCUGCAUCAAUUCAUUUGUGAAAGGUGUCGAGGUUUAAGCUUUUGAAGAUAAAACCAGAGAUGAUGUUGCAGCUAUAACAGACGCUGUUUAGCAGCUUUGGUCCAAGUUGAUACACUUUCAGGUAAUAAGCAAGACGUUGCAAACAUCUGAUGGAGAUUGGGCCAUAGCCCGUGGGGCACAGCACUAAGAGUCGACAUGAAGCCACGACGCUGUGGCCCAGUGUGUGCCGAGCAGCAGGCAAAGUCGGGGAACUAGGUGUACUGAUGCCUGGCAAUAUUCGUGGCCCGGCCACCAAGAUGCUGGGGCUUCGACCGAAAGUCGAUGGGACUUUGCCGGGCACAGCCCAAAUCUACAUGGAGCCUGUGGCUCAGCAGGGAUGGACGUUGGGGUCGGGUGUAUUGUGUGCUGAAUGGCACUCAAAAGUGGGGGCCUAGGCGUGCUGACCCCUGGCAUUACAUAGCAGCAUUUGUAUUUCACAUAAUAAAUCUGGCAGCAUGCUAUGUAUCAAAACAAUGUAAGUUUGUCUAAUAAAACAUAUUCAACUACAA
Long non-coding RNA from Plectropomus leopardus (leopard coralgrouper), 862 nucleotides. RefSeq lists it as uncharacterized. The record is from RefSeq and is a predicted model, not a curated record. NCBI's taxonomy places the organism in Eukaryota, Metazoa, Chordata, Actinopteri, Perciformes, Serranidae.